This 422-nucleotide ribosomal RNA is filed under the name uncultured bacterium. RNAcentral's name for it is "bacterial SSU rRNA". It matches the Rfam family "Bacterial small subunit ribosomal RNA", at positions 355 to 774 of the family's 1533-position model. The record is from RNAcentral.
UGAGGAAUAUUGGUCAAUGGACGCAAGUCUGAACCAGCCAUGCCGCGUGAAGGAUGAAGGCCUUCUGGGUUGUAAACUUCUUUUAUUGGGGAAGAAAAUUACGGUUUCUACUGUAACCGACGGUACCCAAGGAAUAAGCACCGGCUAACUCCGUGCCAGCAGCCGCGGUAAUACGGAGGGUGCAAGCGUUAUCCGGAUUCACUGGGUUUAAAGGGUGUGUAGGCGGGUAUUUAAGUCAGUGGUGAAAUCUCCAGGCUCAACCUGGAAACUGCCAUUGAUACUAUUUAUCUUGAAUAUUGUUGAGGUAGGCGGAAUAUAUCAUGUAGCGGUGAAAUGCUUAGAUAUGAUAUAGAACACCGAUUGCGAAGGCAGCUUACUAAACAAUCAUUGACGCUGAGGCACGAAAGCGUGGGGAUCAAACA